RNAcentral lists this long non-coding RNA (995 nucleotides) under Homo sapiens (human). RNAcentral's name for it is "HSALNT0035518". The record is from RNAcentral. Lineage: Eukaryota; Metazoa; Chordata; Mammalia; Primates; Hominidae.
CUUGGGUAGGUCCCAUUGUAUAGGAUAUGCAACUCUAGGAAAGCAUAACAACCCUAACAAUGUAGAGAUAUGUCUAGAAUGAAUAUGGAUGAAUGCCAUUCUUCUUGGCUCCCUCCCAGCUAAUCUAAAAAAGGAAACGUUACCCUUUCCUACAAGCACUGAUGAGCAGACAGCCUACAAAUAAAACAUAGUCUUGAGCCAGUUCAAGAGUGGUCUGGUAUCUGCGGUUUCCAGGAUAACUGUUCAAGAAUGUUCAUAGCAAGUGUUGGAAUCUACCCUCCCCUGGCACCUGUCUUCCUCAUCAUGUGGAAUGAGGUCCUAUCAGGACUUCCAGUUUUUCGUCAACUACCAAGUGAGAUCUGAGUGUCCCCUGGGCCUGUAAGUGGUGCAGCCACAGCCAUGAGUUCACAAUUCGAGUGGAAAUUCUCUAUGUAAGAAGAGCACGAACUGGAUCCACAGCUUUACUGUCUCAUGGUCACCAUUACCCAUGACUGGCAUUUUCCUGAGCUUUCAUGUAAAGACGAUCACAGCUCAGAGAUGUCAAUCUACCACACAGCUGAUCAUGAAAACAGGGAAACAAUCCAACUAUUUGUUUGUCAAUGAUAUGCUCAAGAUUGAGUUGAACAGCUCUUGAAAGAUUGUGCCUACAUCAGAUCCCUUCACAAGGACACGCACUGUCCUGGAGAGAAAACAUCUGGGGAGAGCCAACGUAAUAGAUUGCAGUACUAUGUAAUCUCGGGUAAUUUAACCCAAAGUCAUGCUUACUUGGUAAAAAACACAAACAAAUGCAGUUCUAAGUAUGAUCCCACAAGAAAGCUUGGUCUGCAUAUCUUUUGGGAAAUCUACCAAAAUAAGACUUUUUAACAAGAUUGGAAAAAGUAAUUGAGUAAAAAUGAUCUUAAAUGUCGAACUCCAUGUUAAUAUUCUGAGUUGAUGACCACAAAUUAUCAUGAGGAGGUAGGAGUACAAUAAAAGUCUUAUAUUCCAGUCUUUAA